UGCGUAGGCGGAAUAUUAAGUCAGUGGUGAAAUCCUGCGGCUCAACCGUAGAACUGCCAUUGAUACUGAUAUUCUUGAAUGUAGUUGAGGUAGGCGGAAUGUGUAAUGUAGCGGUGAAAUGCUUAGACAUUACACAGAACACCGAUUGCGAAGGCAGCUUACUAAACUGUUAUUGACGCUGAGGUACGAAAGCGUGGGGAGCGAACAGGAUUAGAUACCCUGGUAGUCC
This 229-nucleotide ribosomal RNA is filed under the name uncultured bacterium. RNAcentral's name for it is "partial 16S ribosomal RNA". It matches the Rfam family "Bacterial small subunit ribosomal RNA", at positions 568 to 796 of the family's 1533-position model. The record is from RNAcentral.